This 497-nucleotide ribosomal RNA is filed under the name uncultured bacterium. Its description in RNAcentral is "bacterial SSU rRNA". It matches the Rfam family "Bacterial small subunit ribosomal RNA", at positions 899 to 1397 of the family's 1533-position model. The record is from RNAcentral.
ACUCAAAGGAAUAGACGGGGGCCCGCACAAGCAGUGGAGUAUGUGGUUUAAUUCGAAGCAACGCGAAGAACCUUACCAGGACUUGACAUGCAGGUGAAGAUAUGAGAGAUUAUAUUGUCCCUAGGGACAUCUGUGCAGGUGGUGCAUGGUUGUCGUCAGCUCGUGUCGUGAGAUGUUGGGUUAAGUCCCGCAACGAGCGCAACCCUUAUUGUUAGUUGCCAGCACGUGAAGGUGGGAACUCUAGCAAGACUGCCGUUGAUAAAACGGAGGAAGGUGGGGACGACGUCAAAUCAUCAUGCCCUAUAUGUCCUGGGCUACACACGUACUACAAUGGCUGUUACAAAGAGAAGCGAGUCAGUGAUGAUGAGCGAAACUAGAAAAGCAGUCUCAGUUCGGAUUGAAGGCUGAAAUUCGCCUUUAUGAAGCCGGAAUUGCUAGUAAUUGCAGGUCAGCAUACUGCAGUGAAUACGUUCCCGGGCCUUGUACACACCGCCCGU